CCUGUGAACAUACCACUUGUUGCCUCGGCGGAUCAGCCCGCUCCCGGUAAAACGGGACGGCCCGCCAGAGGACCCCUAAACUCUGUUUCUAUAUGUAACUUCUGAGUAAAACCAUAAAUAAAUCAAAACUUUCAACAACGGAUCUCUUGGUUCUGGCAUCGAUGAAGAACGCAGCAAAAUGCGAUAAGUAAUGUGAAUUGCAGAAUUCAGUGAAUCAUCGAAUCUUUGAACGCACAUUGCGCCCGCCAGUAUUCUGGCGGGCAUGCCUGUUCGAGCGUCAUUUCAACCCUCAAGCACAGCUUGGUGUUGGGACUCGCGUUAAUUCGCGUUCCUCAAAUUGAUUGGCGGUCACGUCGAGCUUCCAUAGCGUAGUAGUAAAACCCUCGUUACUGGUAAUCGUCGCGGCCACGCCGUUAAACCCCAACUUCUGAAUGUUGACCUCGGAUCAGGUAGGAAUACCCGCUGAACUUAAGCAUAUCAAA
Molecule: ribosomal RNA, 482 nt
Filed under: Fusarium sp. ca_besc_241c
Lineage: Eukaryota; Fungi; Ascomycota; Sordariomycetes; Hypocreales; Nectriaceae
Description: eukaryotic LSU rRNA
Rfam family: 5.8S ribosomal RNA (bases 127-280)
Source: RNAcentral